CCCACCAAUUUUACAUGAUGAGAUACAAUCAAGAACCGAAUAUAUUUUAGGAAGAGCCGGAAGAGGUAUGACAUGCCGUCACAUCAAACCUCAUUGGACGACAGUUGCACUACAUUCCCAGCAUUGGAUCGAGAUUUUCCC
Molecule: small nucleolar RNA, 141 nt
Organism: Blastomyces gilchristii SLH14081
Lineage: Eukaryota; Fungi; Ascomycota; Eurotiomycetes; Onygenales; Ajellomycetaceae
Rfam family: A. fumigatus snoRNA Afu_198
Source: Rfam